CCAAUAGCGUAUAUUAAAGUUGCUGCAGUUAAAAAGCUCGUAGUUGAAUUUCGGGACUAAUAUGUCGGUCGUGCCUCGGUACGUACUGGUUUAUUGGUUUCUCCUUUCUGAAGAACCAUGAUGUCAUUUAUUUGGUGUCGUGGGGAAUCAGGACUGUUACUUUGAAAAAAUUAGAGUGUUUAAAGCAGGCUCACGCUUGAAUACAUUAGCAUGGAAUAAUGAAAUAGGACGUUUGAUUCUAUUUUGUUGGUUUCUAGGAUCGACGUAAUGAUUAAUAGGGAUAGUUGGGGGCAUUAGUAUUCAAUUGUCAGAGGUGAAAUUCUUGGAUUUAUUGAAGACUAACUACUGCGAAAGCAUUUGCCAAGGAUGUUUUCAUUAAUCAAGAACGAAAGUUAGGGGAUCGAAGACGAUCAGAUACCGUCGUAGUCUUAACCAUAAACUAUGCCGACUAGGGAUCGGAUGAUGUUAAUUUUUUAAUGACUCAUUCGGCGCCUUACG
RNAcentral lists this non-coding RNA (498 nucleotides) under uncultured Glomus. RNAcentral's name for it is "SSU rRNA". It matches the Rfam family "Eukaryotic small subunit ribosomal RNA", at positions 591 to 1092 of the family's 1831-position model. RNAcentral also lists the same sequence under 1 other name. Lineage: Eukaryota; Fungi; Glomeromycota; Glomeromycetes; Glomerales; Glomeraceae. The record is from RNAcentral.